GUAGGUGGCAAGCGUUGUCCGGAAUUAUUGGGCGUAAGGCGCGCGCAGGCGGUUCUUUAAGUCUGAUGUGAAAGCCCACGGCUCAACCGUGGAGGGUCAUUGGAAACUGGAGAACUUGAGUACAGAAGAGGAAAGCGGAAUUCCACGUGUAGCGGUGAAAUGCGUAGAGAUGUGGAGGAACACCAGUGGCGAAGGCGGCUUUCUGGUCUGUAACUGACGCUGAGGCGCGAAAGCGUGGGGAGCAAACAGGAUUAGAUACCCUGGUAGUCCACGCCGUAAACGAUGAGUGCUAAGUGUUAGGGGGUUUUCCGCCCCCCUUAGUGCUGCAGCUAACGCAUUAAGCACUCCGCCUGGGAGUACGGCCGCAAGGCUG
This 373-nucleotide ribosomal RNA is filed under the name uncultured organism. RNAcentral describes it as "partial 16S ribosomal RNA". It matches the Rfam family "Bacterial small subunit ribosomal RNA", at positions 527 to 896 of the family's 1533-position model. The record is from RNAcentral.